GAGUUUGAUCCUGGCUCAGAACGAACGCUGGCGGCGUGCUUAACACAUGCAAGUCGAACGUGAUUGAGAGCUUGCUCUCAUGAAAGUGGCGCACGGGUGAGUAACACGUGGAUAAUCUGCCUGGCGAUUCGGGAUAACACUUCGAAAGGGGUGCUAAUACCGGAUAAGCCCACGGUCUCUUCGGAGAGUGCGGGAAAAGGGGGCCUCWGUAUAUGCUCCUGUCGCUAGAUGAGUCCGCGGCCCAUUAGCUAGUUGGUAGGGUAAUGGCCUACCAAGGCUWCGAUGGGUAGCUGGUYUGAGAGGWUGAUCAGCCMCACYKGAACUGAGACACGSUCCAGASUCSUACGGGAGGCAGCAGUGGGGAAUUUUGCGCAAUGGKYGWAAGCCUSACGCAGCAACGCCGCGUGAGUGAYGAAGKCCUUCGGGUMGUAAASCUCUGUCAGAGGGGAAGAACCGCCGGGUKGMUAAUACCUSCSUGGUCUGACGGUACCCUCAAAGGAAGCACCGGCUAACUCCGUGCCAGCAGCCGCGGUAAUAC
Molecule: ribosomal RNA, 538 nt
Filed under: uncultured Geobacteraceae bacterium
Lineage: Bacteria; Pseudomonadati; Thermodesulfobacteriota; Desulfuromonadia; Geobacterales; Geobacteraceae
Description: partial 16S ribosomal RNA
Rfam family: Bacterial small subunit ribosomal RNA
Source: RNAcentral